RNAcentral lists this ribosomal RNA (234 nucleotides) under uncultured bacterium. RNAcentral's name for it is "partial 16S ribosomal RNA". It matches the Rfam family "Bacterial small subunit ribosomal RNA", at positions 118 to 350 of the family's 1533-position model. The record is from RNAcentral.
UGAGUAACCUGCCCUUCACUUUGGGAUAAACCCUCGGGAAACGGGGGCUAAUACCGGAUAUGACAUUUCACCGCAUGGUGUGGGUGUGGAAAGUUUUUCGGUGGGGGAUGGGCUCGCGGCCUAUCAGCUUGUUGGUGGGGUGAUGGCCUACCGAAGGCGACGACGGGUAGCCGGCCUGAGAGGGCGACCGGCCACACUGGGACUGAGACACGGCCCAGACUCCUACGGGAGGCA